AGAAAGUUACCAUAUUCGGAAGCCUUCUUGCGUAGGUGGAAGGAGCAGAAAUGAAGGGCGAAAGCAUGUUGCAGUUGUUUGGAGAGGAAGGUAACCUCUCCUGAUAGCACAGCACAGCCCCCGAAAUGGCGGAUCGCAUAUGUGAAUGUGGAUAAAUCUCAUCUGCAUGCCGAGUUCAUUUCCUUGAACCUCCCCAACUCUCUUCUUCCUGUCUCGUCAGAAGCAGAAGCAGAAGCAGAAGCAGCCUUCGCUCGCGGGCAGGAGUCGCGAGACAUGGCGAGCGACGAAGACUACGCGAAGAAGCAGGCGAGCCAGAUCCGGCAGUCCAGGAAGUUCAAGGCGUUCGUGGUGGCCCUCAUCAUCGUCGUCAACGUCCUCGCCGUCUACAUCUUCACCAGCGGGGGGCCGUCUCGGCUGGACCUCAACCAGAUAUCCCGCUACACCCAGCAGCUCUCCCUGCCGCUCUCCUCCUGCGACACCGCCCCUCUCAUUGCCGACCUCAACUUCACCCGCGCCCAGCUCUACUCCACUCACUCCCGCAUCGCCGAGCUCCACGAGCACCUCACCUCCGCCAACGCCCUCAUCGAAUCCCUCCUCACCCAGCUCACCCGCCUCAACGAGCGAGAACGCUCGUCGUCCGACCAAACCAACUACCGCGCCGACCUCUUCAGCGCCACCAAUUUGCCGGAGGAGCUGAGGCUGGCCAUCGGCCCCCAAAAGCUCCCGCUCGGCAACUCCCCUAGGGUCGGCUCGGACGUGGUGCUCCCGCCCGUGGGAGCCGCCUGCCUCAUGUUCAGGGAGGAGCUGGCCGAGUACAUGUCGUACCAGGUCGGGGCCGAGUGCCCCGUCGACGACGCCCUGUCGCAGAAGCUCAUGGUGAAGGGAUGCGAGCCUCUCCCUAGGAGGAGAUGCCACCCGAAGACUCCGGCCAAUUCCGCAGAGCCGAUCCCGUUCCCGCAGGCCCUGUGGACCACCCCGCCCGACAACAGCAUCGCAUGGGACGCAUACCAGUGCAAGAGCUACCAGUGCCUCAUCGACCGGAGGACAAGCCCGGGGUCUUCGACUGCAAGGACUGUUUCCACCUGGAGGGACGGGAGAAGCACCGGUGGAUGUUCGACAACGGCAAUCUCGACUACGGGAUGGAUCAGGUGCUGGCCACCAGGCCGCGGGGCACCAUUCGGAUUGGCCUAGACAUUGGGGGAGGGAGCGGGACGUUCGCAGCCAGGAUGAGGGAACGGAACGUGACUAUCGUCACGACCACGAUGAACUACGACGGCCCCUUCAACAACUUCAUCGCGUCCAGGGGCCUGCUCUCGAUGCACAUGACCGUCGCGCAGAGGCUGCCCUUCUUCGAGAACACGCUGGACAUAGUGCACUCCAUGCACGUCCUGAGCAACUGGAUCCCAGACUCGAUGCUCGAGUUCACUCUGUACGACAUAUACCGGGUGCUGAGACCAGGCGGGCUAUUCUGGCUCGAUCACUUCUUCUGCCUCGGGCCGCAGCUGAACGGGACGUACGUGCCGAUGUUCGAUCGGGUCGGGUUCAAGAGGGUGAGGUGGAACGUCGGCAGGAAGGUCGAUCGCGGAGGGAACGAGUGGUACUUCUCCGCCCUCCUGGAAAAGCCCAGGACUUAGAUCAGUUGAUCCACUCCACUCAAAACACACGAGCAAUCAAAUCUUGCUCUCUUUUCCUUGUUCCUUUUUUCCUUAAUUCCAAAUUUGACUUCUUGUUUCUGUUUACAAUAACAUCAUGCCAAGUACUUUGCGUUCGUGUCCCCAUGUUAGACAAGAUUAACAGGACCAAUUCAUGUAAGGGAAGAAAAAACAAGAAUGUAGCAGAGCGUUUGAUUUCAUUACUUGUCAUUUGAUGUAGCAUCAUAACUCAAGGGGCACUCUGUAAUUCCAGCAAAUAAGAGAAAAGUGGUAUUGUAUUCGCAAUUGUAAUUAAAGAAUAUUUCUGGCAAGAAAGUUUCUGCAGAUAUUUA
Eucalyptus grandis is the source of this 1984-nucleotide RNA transcript. RefSeq lists it as uncharacterized. The record is from RefSeq and is a predicted model, not a curated record. The transcript has a single exon. Lineage: Eukaryota; Viridiplantae; Streptophyta; Magnoliopsida; Myrtales; Myrtaceae.